UACAGAGGUCCCGAGCGUUGUUCGGAUUCACUGGGCGUAAAGGGUGCGUAGGUGGUGAGGUAAGUCGGAUGUGAAAUCUCCGGGCUCAACCCGGAAAUGGCAUUGGAAACUACCUUGCUGGAGGAUUUGAGGGGGGAUUGGAAUACUUGGUGUAGCAGUGAAAUGCGUAGAUAUCAGGAGGAACACCGGUGGUGUAGACGGCUUUCUGGACAAUCACUGACGCUGAGGUACGAAAGCGUGGGUAGCAAACAGG
RNAcentral lists this ribosomal RNA (253 nucleotides) under uncultured bacterium. Its description in RNAcentral is "partial 16S ribosomal RNA". It matches the Rfam family "Bacterial small subunit ribosomal RNA", at positions 524 to 776 of the family's 1533-position model. The record is from RNAcentral.